UCCUUACUUCAACUUUGACCGAAAAUGUAGACCUGGAUGGGCCUGUCCCUGUAAUCUCUUAUUCUACAGAUGAGGAAACUGAGGCAGAAGGAAGUUCAGAGGCUUGCCCACGAAGCCAUUCCUGACAUCCUAUGUUGGUCCCCUCAGAUGUCAGAUGGCAUUUUAUUUACUCCUCUCCAAGGCACUUAGCAUGUAAUCAGUCCCAUCCACUAGUAUUGUAUGUGUUUGUGCAGUAUCCACUUAUUAGAUUAAGCUCCUUGAAGGUAAGAACUGUACCUGAAUCAAAUAACUGUAUCUCUCAGCACUAAGCAAUAGGAUCCUGCACAUAGUAGGCACUUUAUAAAUGAAUGAAAAAGCAUUUAUAAAAUACUCACUAUGUACUGCAUACUAUGCCAAGGGUUAGGGAUGCAAAAAGAAAAAGAAAGACAGUCCCUCUUGUUAAGGAACUCACAUCAACAUUUAGCUCACUGCCCCGAAUAUAUUAGGCAUUCAAUCCUUGACUUGAUACUCUUAACUGGGUUACACUACAUGUAAAGGAAACUUCAGCUACAGGGCAAAUAGAAAGGCUCGAAAGUCUUAAGGCAAGGCCUGGGAAUCCUGAGAUUCCAUCAGCAGGCCAGAUGACAGCUCCAGGAUAGUGGAUAGUCAGCCCUGGGGAUCUGCCGUUAUUCUCCCCAGAAGAAAUGGUCAUUCAGACCAUGGGAGCAGUCAAGAAGCACAAUGGACUCCAGGGGAAGGAGAUGGAGGAGGAAGAAAAAGAGAAAGAAUAUCUUCCCUGGUGGGACAUGUUCCUGACACCGAACCCUCCUCAGUGAAUAUUAAAUGAAUGAAUGAGUCAGUGGAUGGAUGGAUAAAGAAAUGAAUAAAUGAGAAAUAAAUAAAAUCAGCAAUUAACUGAGUUAUGCAUUGUCUUCUCUUGGGACAGUAAAACCGAUUUUAUGCUACGAGUGCUCACAGUCUGGAACCUUCAAAUGUGAUGACACCAAAGUGUGUAACAGCACUUCUGGCUUCUGCCAUCUGCUCACCUACGAAGGACAAGAUGACGAAACAUAUAUUAAAAAAUCCUGUGCAACUGACUGUGGGUUCCCUUCAGUGAUCUUCACUGGUACAAAGAAUUAUUUUGCUUUGUGCUGUAGUUUCCAACUUUGCAAUACUUUACAGUACUCCCGAGAGGUAAUAGAAAAUCAUACCAACAUCCCAAUAUCAGACUUCACAGCUAGUCUCUUCUGGGCUUGCUUCAUGAUUAUACUGCAAUUUAUUGGCCUGGGAGAUUGAAACUAUCCCCUCCCACCUCCUGCCCCCAAAAUUUGAUCACAUUCCUUCAGUAAGAAUAGAAUCUCUUUCCUGUCUGGCUUUGUAAUUGGUCUCUCAAAAUCCCAUGGUUAAAUAUGGUGAUAUUUGAUAAAUAUGGUAAAAAUUAUUGUAUGGGAGGCUCUUCCUAUAAUUCAGCAUUUCUUAAUGGCUGGACUUUGGAAGUGAUUCCUUGAGAAAACUUUUUAAAAAGGGGACUAGGUUCUCACCCAGCUUCAACAAAGACUGACACUAUAUGAUACUGGGCAAAAUCACCAGCCUUUAGCUCUUCCAUCUGAGAAAUAGGGAAAGCAGGGCCUUCUCAUGCUUGGGGAACUUCUGGGACACUUCAAAAUGAAAUCAGAGAAUCAAUUCUGCUAAGAUCUCAUCCAUUAGGAACAUAUUUUCUGGGAACUUUAGGUCACAGGCUAAUCCUUUUGAGACCUUGAAGUUUAAUAAUAAUCACAGACAUUUUUCUAGUCCUUUCUUCGCAAUAGCCUUGAAAGGGCAGAGAGUGCAAUGUGCAUAAAUCCUGUUGUUUUUUUUGGUGGUGGUGGGGGGGGAAGAAACUGAGACUUAGAGGAAUAAAAUGACUUUCCAGAAAGCUGGAAUUCCAUCCUGGGUCCCUAACCAUCAAUUUCAAUGUUUUGCCUCUAUAUCCCCUGCCAGUCAACCCAUCCUUUGUAAUGUGUUUAUGUGUUUCAUUUGUUGUUGUUUUUUUUAUCUUCUUUGAACUUUUGUUUUCUGGGGAAAGUGCUGGUGAAAAGUCUUGGACAGACACUGAUUAAAUUUUUCUUUACCACUGUG
Antechinus flavipes (yellow-footed antechinus) is the source of this 2097-nucleotide long non-coding RNA. RefSeq lists it as uncharacterized. Lineage: Eukaryota; Metazoa; Chordata; Mammalia; Dasyuromorphia; Dasyuridae. The record is from RefSeq and is a predicted model, not a curated record. The transcript has 2 exons.